Long non-coding RNA from Oncorhynchus tshawytscha (Chinook salmon), 4120 nucleotides. The record is from Ensembl. NCBI's taxonomy places the organism in Eukaryota, Metazoa, Chordata, Actinopteri, Salmoniformes, Salmonidae.
AAACCCCUGUACCCCUACUCUCUACACCAGAUACAACUAAACCCCCUGUACCCCUACUCUCUACACCAGAUACAACUAAACCCCCUGUACCCCUACCCUCUACACCAGAUACAACUAAACCCCCUGUACCCCUACCCUGUACCCCUACACUCUUCACCGGCUACAACUAAACUCACCUAAACCUACACUCUGUACCCCUACCCUCCAUUGCCCUACACCACUAUCCUGCCCCUGAGAAGGAGAGUAGAGGACACAAUGGCAAGAGCGAGAGGAAGAUGGCAAGGAGGAUGAGGAGGUCAGAGGAAGUAGCAUUUCUUUGGUAGAGUGUGCUCCAUCUGACAGAUUGAGAAUUUUUUUUUUCAUGAAAGAAAUGCAAAGUAAUACACAGUGGGGAGAACAGGUAUUUGAUAACCUGCCGAUUUUGCAGGUUUUCCUACUUACAAAGCAUGUAGAGGUCUGUAAUUUUUAUCAUAGGUACACUUCAACUGUGAGAGACGGAAUCUAAAACAAAAAUCCAGUGUAUCAAAUACUUGUUCUCCCCACUGUGUGUGUGUGUGUGUGUAUGUAUAUAUAUAUAUGUAUAUGUAAGUAAGGGAUAAGGUACUGUAGAAGUAAGGAAUGAAGACGCCAAAGUUCUGCGCAUUACCUUGGAAAAAAUGGAGGACAAGGCAGAGCCGAGUCUCUUUGCGGGGGUCAUUUUUCUAAGAUGGUGUACAGAACGUCGGCGUCUAUCCCGCUUAUACCACAGUUCCCACAAUUAUUUUGUUAUAAGACAAUUCAUGCUUUCUUAUCUUUUGGUUGCUAGAGACGUGACCCAGUCGGUCGUUCAAUACUGUCCUUCUUAUCUUUUGCUUGUUAACUAGCCAACUAGCUACGGCUAACACAGUCACGACGUCGGCAGCCAGAAUAACAGCAAAGUAGCUGGAUUUUUGCAUUUUUGUUUAAGCUGUUUUCUAGUGACAUUCAUUUGGAUAAUGAGCUGAUGAUCCCCCCUGGCAUAGUGCCUUCUCAUCAUGACGACGAGAUCACAUUGCAUAUCAAACACUAACGCAAGGCUAGACGCUAAGUAGUUUGUUGCUAGCAAACCUGCUAAAAUGACAACCUAAUUCAAACAUAUCAAUUGCUGAAAACAGCUGGACAAACUCGAAAUGUCACGUGGCAGGAUUUGAAAGCAUAGCCGCCCAUUUGCGUUACGACUAUACCGACAGUAGGGGACCGGAGAAAUCCAUGUUCAUCACACACCACGUUGGGUCAUCAGAUGCUCCAAAAGAAAAUGUCAAAAGCAACAACAACAACAAAAAGCUAAAUCAAUUGCUACCUAGAUAGACCUGCGUUUAGUGUGGUUGUUGGUUUAGCUUUCUGUAACUUUGUAGUAUGGGCUGCAUGUGUGUCGGUGCUUAUUGCGUUAUGAUUACAAAGUGAGCCCCGUUAUCUUUUCCAACUCCCAUUUAUAUCUGGUUUUAAUGUCCAGUCUAGAUUGUCCUUCUAGCUAAUCAGAAACGAGUAUUCAACAAUGCUGUGGUAUAAUUUAAAGUGUAAUGCUUUACUUUUGUUUAAACUAAUCCCCAACAUCGCUAAACACACAGCAACAACUUGUCUGAGGCAUUUCUGGUCUGUUCGUCUCUUAGAAGGGUUUUAAUAUCUGUUUCCACCUUCUCUGUCUGGGUUGGAGUUUAGAGAGAAUGUUUUUUUUUUUUUGACUUGUUUCUGACUCAGAAAGCAGGAAGUAGAUCCUUCAAAGCAGGAAGUUAAAUGUGAAAUUAUUGCUUUUUAAUGAAAAUUCCACUAUAUUUUGGACAAUCAUGGUAGGCAGCUGAGGCAGAGCUGUGUCCUUUGUACCUCACCAACAAUACUUGGUCUUCUGUGUUAUUGUACGUAGUUGUUGUUAUUUGUGAACUCAGGUUCACCUUUUUAUCUCAUAUUAGGUUGUGGUUGAAGAUCUGAUAACAUUCGGUAUCAAAAAUAGAGAAAAUCAGAAACUACUUUUUCACGGCAUUGCUAUUCCAAAUUUUACACUUACACCGCUCGAACAUCGAGAAGAUUCAAAUACUGCUCGGUUUUUUCCUGGAAAACUUGACUUUUUUUUCGUCCUCAUGCUGAGCUAGCAGUAGCCACAGUAUCUUCUGGCAAAUUACACCUACUUAUACUUUUAUUGUGGACACAAUAUAGUGUGGACAGUAGAAUGAUUUCCAUUAAUUUCUCUGAGAACAAUAUCUUCAUUUAACUCCAUGUCAUCAGGCGGAUGCUGUCCCUCUUCCUCUACUUUCUCCUCCUCUUCCUCACUUCUUCCACUCCUCUGCUCUGGCUCUCUGUGUGUUUUCUCUCCAAUACUACUACUACUACCACCACCACUGCUACAACCUCAACGCGCACAUGUGUGUGUGUGUACACACUACAGUGUGUGUUAGUGUACUCCAAAUGCCUCCCUCUCUGAACCUGGUACUACCACAAAUCUAUUUUUAACUGCUUGUGUUUUAGUUUUCAGAUUUUCUGUGAGGAAGUCAUGUUAAAUGUAACUGGUGUAUGUAUGUAUGUUAGGAUUUUAUUGUCUAUUUUGAGUUUCGCAAAAACAACCGUUUUUUUUGUUUGUUUUUUUCUCGAAUAUUUGAGUUUUUAUUGAUGUUGUCGGAGAAGGGAGGAUAAGAUUUCAAGAUAUCCAAAGUAGUGGUCGUCUGUUGGCCUACAGAUCUGUAUGUAGUCCGACUCUGCAACUGAAUAGGAGAACACGGGUUGUGUCCCAAAAAUGGAAUCAUAUUCCCGAAGCUAACUGGCAACAAUCGGGUCUGGGACCAGGCCAACUGGCAACAAUCGGGUCUGGGACCAGGCCAACUGGCAACAAUCGGGUCUGGGACCAGGCCAACUGGCAACAAUCGGGUCUGGGAUCAGGCUAACUGGCUACAAACGGGUCUGGGAUCAGGCUUACUGGCUACAAAUGUGUCUGGGGCCAGGCUAACUGGCAACAAGCAGAUCUGGGACCAGGCUAACUGGCAACAAACAGAUCUGGGACCAGGCUAACUGGCAACAAUCAGAUCUGGGACAAGGCUAACUGGCUACAAACAGAUCUGGGACCAGGCUAACUGGCAACAAACAGAUCUGGGACCAGGCUAACUGGCAACAAACAGAUCUGGGACCAGGCUAACUGGCAACAAUCAGAUCUGGGACCAGGCUAACUGGCAACAAACAGGUCUGGGACCAGGCUAACUGGCUACAAACAGGUCUGGGGCCAGGCUAACUGGCAACAAACAGGUCUGGGACCAGGCUAAUUUUUUUACGCUCCAGUCUAAGUCUGAGAUCAUCUUCCUUUGUAUUCCCUCCUUUCUUUUCAUUUAUUUCUAAGAAGAUUCUAUUAUCAAGUGAGACAUUUAAAAAAAAAAAAAUUUUAUUGGUUGUAGUCGUUCUUCAAUGUCCCGCCCACUGCAGUCUCAUUUUGAUUUGAUUGGUUGUAUUACGACGGAGAUGUGGUUGUCCCACCUAGCUUAUCGUAACAUGAAUGCACUAACUUGUAAAUCGCUCUGGAUAAGAAUAUCUGUUAUCAUGAUGACGUUGACAAAUGAAAUGCUAUUUCUGGGACUUCUUUCUCCUCUGCGAUAUUAAACAAGCAACUUGUCUGAGUGAAUGCAAUGUGUAAACAAUACUAAGUUAUACCGGAUCAAGAAAAAUCAUUAUUUUAGAAACUUAAAAAAAAAAAAUUAAAAUAAAGUUUGUGCGAAAUAUAACGAUAAAAUUAUAAUGACACAUUUAUUUGUAUUUAUUAAUUUUUUUGUUCUCUUUUUAAUAAAUGAAUGUCGUUUUUUAAAAUUUUAUUUAACUAGGCAAGUCAGGUAAGAACAAAUUCUUAUUUACAAUGACGGCCUACACCGGCCAAAACCGUAACCCGGACGACGCUGGACCAAUUGUGCACCGCCCUAUGGGUCUCCCAAUCACGGUCGUUAAGUAUAAAUGGUAUGUAAACUAGGUGUGGCCAUUUUGAAUGAAUAGUUGAUAUCUCCUGGAGGUUUAGUGGAAGCAAGUAGAAGUUAGGAGUUUUAUGUUUUAGCAUGGUCAUCUACUGUGUCUGAAAGAGAGAAUGAAGGUCAUUUAUCAGAUGUGCUGUUGUAAAAAAAUAAAUGUUUGAUGCUUA